Molecule: ribosomal RNA, 324 nt
Filed under: Triticum aestivum (bread wheat)
Lineage: Eukaryota; Viridiplantae; Streptophyta; Magnoliopsida; Poales; Poaceae
Description: partial small subunit ribosomal RNA
Source: RNAcentral
AUGUGCAUCUCUCAUAGAGCACGCGGCAGAACCUGGCGCCGCCUCGUUCGCCUCGCCUGCGAGCUUGCAACACCCGUCCCGACUACGUGUUGCAUUUUGCAUUAUGUACACCAUCUCAUGGCAGACUUCACGAAGCUUGCUCCUCUCCGAUACAGACCGUACGCACACGUCGGACUCACACAAACUCCACAUCUCCACAGUACAACACAUAAUGCCCGCACGGACACGCCAGUGACAAGCGAAAGGAGGACACGUGCAUGGGCGCAUGGCGAAGAGCGGCCGGCACGGAGGAGUGGGGUCGCACCGCUGACAUGCAAAGGAUGA